Molecule: non-coding RNA, 27 nt
Filed under: Bombyx mori (domestic silkworm)
Lineage: Eukaryota; Metazoa; Arthropoda; Insecta; Lepidoptera; Bombycidae
Source: RNAcentral
UCAAAUUCAAAAAAAUGACUAGGCUUC